This 306-nucleotide long non-coding RNA is filed under the name Nicotiana benthamiana. RNAcentral describes it as "long non-coding RNA (NBEN_LNC041764)". Lineage: Eukaryota; Viridiplantae; Streptophyta; Magnoliopsida; Solanales; Solanaceae. The record is from RNAcentral.
AAUCGGAUAAGCAUUCGCCGGAAUCAAGUUUCCAAUAUGGAAAACAAUCAUGAACAAGACAUCGAAGACCUUGAACUUUUCCAAAAGCACGUAGCUGAUCGAUUUUCCGAUCUUUUACCAAAUGAUCCUUCAUCAACUACUGAAUCUCCAGCACAAGAUCAAUCACCUCUAUUCUCAAUUUCAUGGUUUACACGUAGGUGAUCGAUUUUCCGAUCUUUUACCAAAUGAUCCUUCAUCUACUACAGAUUCUCCACCAAAAGAUCAAUCACAUCUCUUCUCAAUUUCAUGGUUUCGUAAAUUGCUCGA